UGCCAGCCGCCGCGGUAACACGAACCGUCCAAACGUUAUUCGGUAUCACUGGGCUUAAAGCGUGCGUAGGCGGCUUGGUAGGUGAGAUGUGAAAGCCCACGGCUCAACCGUGGAAUUGCGUUUCAAACCCUCAAACUUGAGGAAGACAGGGGUGUCGGGAACUUAUGGUGGAGCGGUGAAAUGCGUUGAUAUCAUAGGGAACACCGGUGGCGAAGGCGCGACACUGGGUCUUUUCUGACGCUGAGGCACGAAAGCUAGGGUAGCGAACGGGAUUAGAUA
RNAcentral lists this ribosomal RNA (279 nucleotides) under uncultured bacterium. RNAcentral's name for it is "partial 16S ribosomal RNA". It matches the Rfam family "Bacterial small subunit ribosomal RNA", at positions 506 to 784 of the family's 1533-position model. The record is from RNAcentral.